AUGCGGCCAAACUUUCACUCGAUAUGGAAAUCCAGCUGUCUGCAUAGACAGAAGUUCUUCUUUUGGCUUCUCCUACAAGACAGAUUGAACACAAGGGACCUACUUACCAGAAAGAACUUCUAUGUGGAAAACAACAGAUGUGUUUUGUGUGAUGAUGAAUCUAAUGAGGAUUAUAUCCACCUAUUAUUUUCAUGUGAUUUAAGUCAAAACUUCUGGAUUGCUCUGGGCUUUGAAUGGAAUGCAGAUUUGACUAUAUUUGAUAUGUUGAUGGAGGCCAAAAACAGAAUUACAAUCAAAUGUUUCAAAGAAUGUUUGAUCGCAGGUUGCUGGGCCCUAUGGAAACACAGGAAUGGCAUCAUCUUUGAUCACAAACAAAGAAACUUAGAAUAUUGCAUCAGUUGCUUCAAAGAACACUUUGCUAUGGUGAUCAAGAGAACCAAACCUAGUCUUAAGGAGGGAAUGCAAUCAUGGUUAGAUUAUUUGUAG
This 486-nucleotide ribosomal RNA is filed under the name Triticum aestivum (bread wheat). Its description in RNAcentral is "partial small subunit ribosomal RNA". The record is from RNAcentral. Lineage: Eukaryota; Viridiplantae; Streptophyta; Magnoliopsida; Poales; Poaceae.